Long non-coding RNA from Drosophila ananassae, 906 nucleotides. RefSeq lists it as uncharacterized. The record is from RefSeq and is a predicted model, not a curated record. Lineage: Eukaryota; Metazoa; Arthropoda; Insecta; Diptera; Drosophilidae. The transcript has 3 exons.
CCGGGUGCCCGGUUGGUGCGGAGGUCCCUCCUGCACCGUGUUUUAUUAUUUAUAUUUACUAUAAUUUUCCCGAACGGCCGGCAAUAAAAACAGCAAAAUAAGCAGCCAUGGAACAGUAGGAUCUAAAAAAUAUAUAUUAAUUCUAGUCAUCAAUGAGUACCUUUGUUCAUGACUCUUCACAUCCCCAAGAACAGAAGUACUUUUCCAUAACUUAUUAAAAGUGUUUCUUUUUAUGCUGACACAUUGAUAUGAAAUUUGAUUAAUUUCGUCACCUGAUGGCACCCUCCGAUAAGCCAUUCAAAUUAAAAUGAUUGACACUAAAAUUGCUUUAAUGAAUCAUUAAAUACAAAUUACACCUAAUCGUUGACAUUCUGGCCGUCUUUUUCUUUUCCCUGGCACUAUAGGCUAGGCCCGGCCGGUACGUGUGGUUCUUCAUCAUUUUCUAGUGGGUUUUUGUUUUUUUGGGGAACAGAAAAUUGCGUGCCGUUGCAAGAAGGCAAAACACGCAUAAUGGAUAAAUGUGAACAACAAACAACAAACAAAAACAAAGGCAGCAGCAACAGCAACAGCAACAGCAAUAAUAAUGGCCGAACGAACAAGAAAUAAAUUCUAAUUGCGUGCUUUUGGCAUAAAAUCAAAAUUCGUUAUAAAAAUGCGAAGAGCGAUGGAGCAGGGCGAACUAAACUGAAACACAAAGCUCCAACAAAAGGGCAAAAACUGCCUCAAAAAUAUGCCCACAAAGAAGUCAAACAAAAACGAGCAAAAAAUAUUGUUGAAAAUGAUUAACAUGCAAAGUCAUCAGAAACGAAGUUCUAAUACACUAAAAGUUUCAUUUUUUUCAAAUAAAUAUUUUUUAAACAAACAAUUUUAAUAUUCUUUGGGAAAUACAAGGAUAUUAGUAUUUAA